This is an RNA transcript of Leopardus geoffroyi (Geoffroy's cat), 4854 nucleotides long. It is a transcript of the gene named kinesin light chain 1, with no coding region annotated. NCBI's taxonomy places the organism in Eukaryota, Metazoa, Chordata, Mammalia, Carnivora, Felidae. The transcript has 17 exons. The record is from RefSeq and is a predicted model, not a curated record.
CAUUGUGGGGCGGGAGCGCCGAGUCGGGGGAGGGACGUCGAGACGCCAUUUUCGGCGGCGGGAGCGGCGGAGCCGGAGCAGAGCUGGAGCCGGCGGGCGCAGGGCGGCGGCUACGGGGAGGAGCCGCGGGAGACAGCGCUCGCGGGCGGCCGAGGAUGCUGCGGGGCGGCCGCGCCAGCGCCCCUCGCUCGUGACCGCGGCGCCGCUCCUGAGGCAGCCGAGGCGGAGGGCCCCGCGCAUUCCUGCUCCGCGCACGCGCCCCGCGACCUCCCGGUGCUGACAGCGCGAGCGCGCGGCCCCGCGGGAGCAGCACGAAUGUAUGACAACAUGUCCACAAUGGUGUAUAUAAAGGAAGACAAGUUGGAGAAGCUUACACAGGAUGAGAUUAUUUCUAAGACAAAGCAAGUGAUUCAGGGGCUGGAAGCUCUGAAGAACGAGCAUAAUUCCAUUUUACAAAGUUUACUGGAAACACUGAAGUGUUUGAAGAAAGAUGAUGAAAGUAAUCUGGUGGAGGAGAAAUCAAACAUGAUCCGGAAGUCACUGGAAAUGCUGGAGCUUGGCCUGAGUGAGGCACAGGUUAUGAUGGCUUUGUCCAAUCACCUGAAUGCUGUCGAGUCGGAGAAACAGAAGCUGCGGGCACAGGUUCGUCGCCUGUGCCAGGAGAAUCAGUGGCUGCGGGAUGAAUUGGCCAACACGCAGCAGAAAUUACAGAAGAGUGAGCAAUCUGUGGCUCAACUGGAGGAAGAAAAGAAGCAUCUGGAAUUCAUGAAUCAGUUAAAAAAAUACGAUGAUGACAUCUCUCCAUCCGAGGACAAAGACACUGAUUCCACCAAAGAACCUCUGGAUGACCUUUUCCCAAAUGAUGACGACGAACCCGGCCAAGGAAUCCAGCAGCAGCACAGCAGUGCAGCGGCCGCGGCGCAGCAGGGCGGCUACGAGAUCCCGGCGCGCCUGCGCACUCUGCACAACCUGGUCAUCCAGUACGCCUCCCAGGGGCGCUACGAGGUGGCCGUGCCGCUCUGCAAGCAGGCCCUGGAGGACCUGGAGAAGACUUCGGGCCACGACCACCCGGACGUGGCUACCAUGCUGAACAUCCUGGCCUUGGUGUACAGAGACCAGAAUAAAUACAAAGAUGCCGCAAAUCUACUGAACGAUGCCUUGGCCAUCCGUGAAAAAACUUUGGGCAAAGAUCAUCCCGCGGUGGCGGCCACUCUGAAUAACCUUGCAGUGCUGUACGGCAAGAGAGGGAAGUACAAAGAGGCCGAGCCGCUGUGUAAAAGAGCCCUGGAGAUCAGAGAAAAGGUUUUGGGAAAGGAUCACCCCGACGUUGCUAAGCAGCUGAACAACUUGGCCUUACUGUGCCAGAAUCAGGGCAAAUAUGAGGAAGUAGAGUAUUAUUAUCAAAGAGCCCUCGAGAUCUACCAAACAAAACUGGGGCCUGAUGACCCCAAUGUGGCCAAAACGAAAAAUAACCUGGCCUCCUGCUAUCUGAAGCAAGGAAAAUUCAAGCAAGCAGAAACACUGUACAAAGAGAUUCUCACUCGUGCACACGAAAGGGAGUUCGGUUCUGUGGAUGAUGAAAAUAAACCCAUUUGGAUGCACGCUGAAGAAAGAGAAGAAUGCAAAGGAAAGCAAAAGGAUGGGACAUCUUUUGGAGAAUAUGGCGGCUGGUACAAAGCCUGCAAAGUUGAUAGUCCGACUGUUACAACUACUUUGAAAAACCUCGGGGCACUUUAUAGACGACAAGGCAAAUUUGAAGCUGCGGAAACAUUGGAAGAAGCAGCCAUGAGGUCCCGUAAACAGGGUCUUGACAAUGUUCACAAACAGAGAGUAGCUGAAGUGCUGAAUGACCCUGAGAACAUGGAGAAGCGGAGAAGCCGGGAGAGCCUGAACGUGGACGUGGUCAAGUACGAGAGCGGCCCUGACGGAGGGGAGGAAGUGAGUAUGAGCGUAGAGUGGAACGGGGACGGCACUGGAUCUUUAAAGCGCAGUGGCUCCUUUAGCAAACUCCGGGCUUCCAUUAGACGCAGCAGUGAGAAGCUGGUUAGGAAGCUGAAGGGAGGAAGUUCUCGAGAGAGUGAGCCAAGGAACCCCGGCAUGAAGCGUGCCAGUUCUCUGAGUGUCCUUAACGUGGGUGGCAAGGCAGCCGAAGACCGUGGUUUCCAAGAACGAAAUGAUUGUCUGGCAGACUCGUGAGCUCCGAGUGCCAGCCACACUGACCUGGCCCACUGAGGGUCGGGGCAGAGCUAGAUAAAAAUCCCCGAGACUUAACGGGGACACUGAGACCCUCAGAGCUUUGCCAAGCUCCUCUACUCUGCCCGGGACUCCCCUCCCCAGUGACUUCCUUUUCUAGGUAGUGACCUCUAUCACCUCGUGGGGGUUUGCCCCGAAUUCCGUUAAGCUGCCUGCAGUCCUAGCGAGCUAGAGCUGCUGGAGCGUGAGACUGGCCAGGCGUGGCGCCGGCGGCCUCAGCAUGUUUGGGACCGGCCGCUGUUCACGGACACUUGUACUUUCUGCCGCUACGCCAAGAUCUGUUUUCAGUUUUAGUAUUGUAUUAAGGCUAUAAAUGAAGACUCCGGAACCGUAAACUGCAUCUUUCUAGAAUGAGUAUCUGAUGGUCUGGGGCCAUGCUGCCUGGAAUUAAGAGGACAGUUGGUGCUCAGAGCUGGGAGAGACAGGGUUAGAACGGUUCCCAAUCCCUAAGGGAAUCUGCCAGACUAACUGGCCGGUGAAGAAAACACUGCACAAAUACUGUUUGUAAUUCCGGAUGACAGCAGCUGUAGGAGGGGGCGCGUCCAGGCCACCGAGCUGGAGUAGGAUGACUCAUCACUUAGCUCUGAAGGGGAUCUGAAGAACUUGGGGUACCCUGUGAGAUGCUGCACGUUUGGACUUUCUUUUAAUGUUAUGUUACCGGAGGGGUCACAGCAAGGGCACUUGCUGCCCCCCCCAGCCCCCGGCUCAGAAAUUGCACUGUGCUGGGGUCCAUGCUCCCCGGGGGCCCUCCGGCGGGGCUCACCGGGCACCUCGGCACUCGCUGUACAGACUCCCUGGGGGUCCCCACGGGGGCACCCACCUGCUGCACGUGUCCUUCAGGCCAGGCGUGGAUUUGGGGCUGCGGGCCGGAGGCGGCAGCAUGCCGGGGUCUGGGGGCUUUGUUGACAGGUGUCCUGUGAUAAUACCAGAGCACGUGGCCUAGACCACCUGUUUGGGACACUGCUCGCUCCCUCCCGGAGGCCAGUGUGCGGUGCCUGGGCCCGGUCUUCUGUGGCCGCGCCUCCUUCCUCAGCGCCUGGCCGGCUGGGCUUUGCAGCCCCCGGCUUUGUAACCGUUGUUCACUCUGCAGGCUGCGAGAGACCGCCGCCGACAGAGUGGGCUGUGUGUCCACGCGGGCACUGUGCACUUUGAAGUUCCUGUUUGAGGGGCGGGGGAGCAUGGUGUCACCUGUGGAGCGGGACAAGGGCUGUCCCGUCUCCCCUGUCCCCUCCAUCGGAAGUGCUCUUCCAGCCACGACGCUGAUCCGAUACAUUGGAAACCUACCCCCUUUCCCUUAGUGACACGUCUCCCUGGGAAACCAGGGCAUUCAGGAAGGAUACACGUGGGGCCAGGGGUAGGAUUUAAGCUCCCAUGUGGGGGAAACGGGGCCCUGCCUGUGAGCCCGCCAGCCCCCUUCUCUGAAGGCCAGCUUGCCUUUGUGGGGCUGUGAGGAGCCACACAGCCUCCUUACACCGCGUUGUAAGAAACCGUCAUGUUUCAGAGGGGACGCUGCCUGGAAAUGUGUAAUUUCUGAUUUUUGAGCUUGUAUCAAAACAAGUGAGCCUGGUUGUCCUCUGCUCAUUUGGCCGUCUGGAUUUUAAUGUUCUCGAGGAGGAGAAGCAGUGGGGGCGGCCGGCCCUCCUCUUCAGUGUUUUCCUCUCCCGGCGAGGGGGCCUCGGGCCAGCACCCGUUCCGCAUCGCUCCCGUCGAGUUAGAGGUCCCUGGCCAGAGGACAGGCAGGAAGUGACGUGAGCCGGCUCUGUGGGUCUGAGGGGGAGGUUGUGGGAGGGCUGGGCCGUCCGCCCUCGGCUCUCCCCAGGGUCUCUGUGUUUACAGUACUGGAGGGAGUCAGGUAGUUCUUUCCCGGAAUUCGAAGAGAUUCCUGUCAUGUUUGGUCAGAAAGCCGCUAGGAAUAUCACGUAAUGAGAAAUUCAGUGUUUACAGUAACCUAUAAAUAUUGCUAAAAAUAGUUUAUAGACAGCUCUUUCAUGGUCAUAACUUCAUAGAAUAUUCUUGGGAAGCAGGUGCAUACAUGAGGCUAUACUCUGGUAUGUUUGCACUUGCUGUUGAGCAGUGCACUGCAUGACCAUCAGACUUCUGAAAAUUGCCAAGUGCUACUUGAUAACAGCGAUCGAAGGAGAGGCUCCAGCCAGCUGCGGGCGUCUCGUCAGGGCUCCCAAGCAUCAUAUGGGUGGCUGGGGCGGUCAUGAAGACGUGUCAUUUUGCAUUUGUCCCAUUAUUAUGGGGGGAACUGACGUGGCUUCUACAGUGUUGUGGACGUAACCAUGGGGACCACCAGCCCUGGGGGUGGGGGGUGGGGGGUGUGGGCAGGGAACUCCUUAGGGGGUCCAGGGCGGUCUGUCACUGAGACAAAAGUCCUGCUGCAGCCCUGUCCCUCGCCUGUGGUGGGCAGGCACCGUGCACCGGCACCCUGCACCCUUCAUGCUCCAGUGGGCCUGCAGCUUCUGGGGAGGGGCUCGUUAGCACAUUCGGUCUUGGGCUGUGGUUUGCUCAUUGUUGGUGUGAUUUGCCUAGAAAAUCAUCCGGAAUUGUUUGUAUUUAAUUACGAUAAUAAAAUGGUUUAUUUCCUUUUGCAAAGUC